AUCCUUUGACCACUCUAGAGAUAGAGCUUCCCCUUCGGGGGCAAAGUGACAGGUGGUGCAUGGUUGUCGUCAGCUCGUGUCGUGAGAUGUUGGGUUAAGUCCCGCAACGAGCGCAACCCUUAUUGUUAGUUGCCAUCAUUUAGUUGGGCACUCUAGCAAGACUGCCGGUGACAAACCGGAGGAAGGUGGGGAUGACGUCAAAUCAUCAUGCCCCUUAUGACCUGGGCUACACACGUGCUACAAUGGGAAGUACAACGAGUCGCGAAGUCGCGAGGCUAAGCUAAUCUCUUAAAGCUUCUCUCAGUUCGGAUUGUAGGCUGCAACUCGCCUACAUGAAGCCGGAAUCGCUAGUAAUCGCGGAUCAGC
RNAcentral lists this ribosomal RNA (366 nucleotides) under Enterococcus durans. Its description in RNAcentral is "bacterial SSU rRNA". It matches the Rfam family "Bacterial small subunit ribosomal RNA", at positions 986 to 1353 of the family's 1533-position model. Lineage: Bacteria; Bacillati; Bacillota; Bacilli; Lactobacillales; Enterococcaceae. The record is from RNAcentral. RNAcentral also lists the same sequence under 1 other name.